AGUGGGGAAUAUUGGACAAUGGGCGAAAGCCUGAUCCAGCCAUGCCGCGUGUGUGAAGAAGGCUUUCGGGUUGUAAAGCACUUUCAGUGGGGAAGAAAUCCUCGGGGCCAAUACCCUCGAGGGAGGACAUCACCCACAGAAGAAGCACCGGCUAACUCCGUGCCAGCAGCCGCGGUAAUACGGAGGGUGCGAGCGUUAAUCGGAAUUACUGGGCGUAAAGCGCGCGUAGGCGGCGUGAUAAGCCGGUUGUGAAAGCCCCGGGCUCAACCUGGGAACGGCAUCCGGAACUGUCAGGCUAGAGUGCAGGAGAGGAAGGUAGAAUUCCCGGUGUAGCGGUGAAAUGCGUAGAGAUCGGGAGGAAUACCAGUGGCGAAGGCGGCCUUCUGGACUGACACUGACGCUGAGGUGCGAAAGCGUGGGUAGCAAACAGGAUUAGAUACCCUGGUAGUCCACGCCGUAAACGAUGUCGACUAGCCGUUGGGGUCCUUGUGACCUUUGUGGCGCAGUUAACGCGAUAAGUCGACCGCCUGGNAAGUACGGCCGCAAGGUUA
This 551-nucleotide ribosomal RNA is filed under the name uncultured bacterium. RNAcentral describes it as "bacterial SSU rRNA". It matches the Rfam family "Bacterial small subunit ribosomal RNA", at positions 353 to 896 of the family's 1533-position model. The record is from RNAcentral.